GUCUCAAAGAUUAAGCCAUGCAUGUGUAAGUAUAAAUAGUUAACUUUGAAACUGCGAAUGGCUCAUUAUAUCAGUUAUAGUUUAUUUGAUGAAAUGUACUAAUUGGAUAACCGUAGUAAUUCUAGAGCUAAUACAUGUUCAAAGUCUUGUAGACAGCAUUUAUUAGAAUGAAAACCAUAGGUUUCGGCCUAUUCGUGAGUAAUAAUAACUAAUCAUAUCGUAUGCUUAAGUAACGAUGUGUCUUUCAAGUUUCUGCCCUAUCAGCUUUCGAUGGUAGUGUAUUGGACUACCAUGGCAGUAACGGGUAACGAAGAAUUUGGGUUCGAUUUCGGAGAGGGAGCCUGAGAGAUGGCUACCACAUCCUAGGAAGGCAGCAGGCGCGUAAAUUACCCAAUCCUGACACAGGGAGGUAGUGACAAUAAAUCACAAUGCGGAACAAUGUUUUGCAAUUGGAUUGAGAACAACGUACAAACCUUAUCGAUAAACAAUUGGAGGGCAAGUCUGGUGCCAGCAGCCGCGG
RNAcentral lists this ribosomal RNA (520 nucleotides) under Blastocystis sp. RNAcentral's name for it is "SSU rRNA". It matches the Rfam family "Eukaryotic small subunit ribosomal RNA", at positions 34 to 579 of the family's 1831-position model. The record is from RNAcentral. Lineage: Eukaryota; Bigyra; Opalinata; Blastocystidae.